Molecule: long non-coding RNA, 1320 nt
Organism: Bombyx mori (domestic silkworm)
Lineage: Eukaryota; Metazoa; Arthropoda; Insecta; Lepidoptera; Bombycidae
Exons: 5
Source: RefSeq, a predicted model, not a curated record
ACCGACACAGAACGAUGUCGCAACCCGCUCGCCGAUUUCGGUCUGCCCGUCGGUCAUCUCUAACGAUGGACCGAUAAUUAAGAUCGGACGUCGGUAUUAUUUACGCCCGCAGCAUCCUGACCUGCCUUGCGAUUCUCUAAAAGUCAAACAAGAACUCGCAUCUCACUACGAAAUUCUCCAUCACUUCGCAUUCGCAAUAGAAUGACCUUGAAUUGGCAUUCUGUAAACACUAAUCUUAAUUACUCUGCCUCGAGCGAAGUGAAGUGACAACGAAGUUUGUUUAUACUACUACUAGGGAUAGCCGUUAACACGCAAAUGUAAAUCGAAGCUUACCGGUUUCAGUUUUUCGUUGUAUUUAUAAGCAUUCUGUAAGAAAAUACCAUGAAUUUAAGCUUUGGUGUUAAAGCCACAUCUAAUUUAACUAAAAAGAAAAUUAAAAGUCAUAUAUUUAUGAUAUUAAUUGUAAUUUCUGGCUGCACGCUAAGUUCCUUUGCGUGCACUAGCGAAUACCAGAAUUAAAAAACAAAAUUUUAAUUGUUUUCAAAACAAUCUCGAGCGGUCGGAAGUUUUUAUUUUACUUUUUCUAGAUUUUUUGUUACUUUGUGAGUGAAUUUAACGUUAAAUAAAAAUUAUGAGAUUUAACGAGCGUUCUUCUCAUCCGACAUUGGUGCAAAUAGAGGCAUUGAUAGACGUUUUGGAUUAAAAGCUAGCGAAACAAAAGGUUUAAUCGUAUCUCAACAUGUUCAAUAAGAGAACAAGGAUAUUAAAAAAAUAUAGGAACUAAAUUCUCUUGUCAGAUAUGAUCCAUUCCCGGAACUACAACAGAUUGAAAAUAAUAAUCCACGUCAUCAGAAUAUUGUAAGGAGAAUUUAUUGCCAACUCGGAAAAUGUAUCAGUAUUGGAACAAUCCCAAACAUACAGCAUUGCAUCAAGAAUCACCUAUUUUGCAGUCAUCCUCCCCUAACUAAAUGCAAGUGACUUCUACUUAUUGUGAUGCUACUACUAGUAGCUCCAGCCACAGUAGGUCUCAUGUUAGUCAAGAGAUUGGGUUGUUAGCACCUCAACACCUGACCUGCUAUUUCACCACUUUUCAAUGAAAAGCAGAGUGUACUCAAAUUACAACAAAUUACACAGUACCAGGAUAUAUAACUUAAACAACCAUGGGGGAAUAAAUAGUCAACAGUCUGCAAGAAGGAUGAACUGUUGGUGGAAUUAGCAUAUGCAGCUAGGAAUUUUAAACCUGUAUUUCCACACAUUACUGAUGCAAACAAAUUUCAAAAUUAUUGUAUAUAACUAUUGAAUAAAACUAUAAUAAAACUA